AGUGAACGCUGGCGGUAGGCCUAACACAUGCAAGUCGAACGGCAGCACAGUUAGAGCUUGCUCUUACGGGUGGAGAGUGGCGGACGGGUGAGGAAUACAUCGGAAUCUACUUUUUCGUGGGGGAUAAAGUAGGGAUACUUCCGCUAAUACCGCAUACGACCUACGGGUGAAAGCAGGGGCUCUUCGGACCUUGCGCGAUUGCAUGAGCCGAUGUCGGAUUAGUUAGUUGGCGGGGUAAAGGCCCACCAAGGCGACGCUCCGUAGCUGGUGUGAGAGGGUGUUCAGCCACACUGGGACUGAAACACGGUCCAGGCUCCUACGGAAGGCAGCGGUGGGGAAGAGUGGACAAUGGGCGCAAGCCUGAUCCAGCCAUGCCGCGUGGGUGAAGAAGGCCUUCGGGUUGGAAAGCCCUUUUGUUGUGAAAGACAAGCAGCAGGUGAAACCCCCGCUUUUCUGACGGUACCCAAAGAAUAAGCACCGGCUAACUUCGUG
Molecule: ribosomal RNA, 492 nt
Filed under: uncultured bacterium
Lineage: Bacteria
Description: partial 16S ribosomal RNA
Rfam family: Bacterial small subunit ribosomal RNA
Source: RNAcentral